CGCAAAGGUGUGCCUCUGCAGUGCGAUGUGUUAGAAAAGAGAGAGAUAAAAAAAAACACUUGAGCUGUGAUAUUUAGUGUUAAGUGUAUAUGAGCAUAUGUCAAAAGCAACGAGGCACAAGCCUAGCGGAGCGGGCGCGACUGUCAUGUGACAAGUGCCGCGAGUGACCCAGUGUGAGAGACGCGUGAGUGCCAGAGCGGCGCUCGUCCCCCUCACUCGGCGCGAAGGAUGCUGGCCCUCGCGCGGAUAACGAGAUAAAACGUCCAGGAAACAGAGGAACACGGGAUUUUUGCUCGCAGGGGAAGGGGACCGCGGUCGCCUGCGGUGCCAGUCCAAGAGAGCUUCGGGUGCCAGAGGUAGUGCCAGGCAGGCGGGGGCUUUGAGGUGACACUGGUGAGCUCCACCUGUUACCACCUGUCACUUGCACCAGGUGGGCUGCCAGCAAGCAAGCGAGUGUUGCCAGGUGUGCUGGGGGGCCGCUGCGAGUGCUGAUGCUGGCCGCCACCCGGGGUCCACCAGGCCCCACGCCCGCGCCGCCCACCAUGCCCGAGCCACGCCCACACUCCCACAAGGUCCACCUCCAACACGGUCCCGCGCGCUUCCACAAGCCCUGGUACAACCCACCAUGGGUGAGUGAGAGCAAGGCUUCCAGCAAGUCCGCCGAGAAGGGACACCGAGCUAGGGGCGAGGAUGGCGUGAGCGGGAUGGCCAGCUCUGGAGGAGGCGGCGGGGUGAGUGGGUCGUCGUCGUCGUCGGCGCGGGUGUCGUCGUCCCGGUCCCGCACGGAGGAGAUCGGCAAGUACCGCCUCCUCAAGACCAUCGGCAAGGGGAACUUCGCCAAGGUCAAGCUCGCCAAGCACAUCCCCACCGGCAAGGAGGUGGCUAUAAAAAUUAUAGACAAGACGCAACUUAAUCCAGGGUCGUUACAAAAGCUGUUUCGGGAGGUCCGCAUCAUGAAGAUCCUCGAUCAUCCAAACAUUGUCAAACUCUUCCAAGUGAUAGAAACAGAAAGAACUUUGUACCUGGUGAUGGAGUAUGCUAGUGGUGGGGAGGUAUUCGACUACUUGGUCUUCCAUGGCAGGAUGAAGGAAAAGGAGGCACGGGCAAAAUUUAGACAGAUUGUUUCAGCAGUACAAUAUUGCCACCAAAAGAAGAUCAUUCAUAGGGACUUAAAAGCUGAAAAUUUACUUUUAGAUUCAGAAAUGGUGAUAAAAAUAGCAGAUUUUGGCUUCAGCAAUGAAUUUACGCCAGGGAAUAAGUUAGAUACUUUCUGUGGUAGUCCACCUUAUGCUGCACCUGAACUCUUUCAAGGGAAAAAGUAUGAUGGUCCUGAGGUAGAUGUGUGGUCUUUGGGAGUCAUCCUGUACACCUUAGUUUCCGGCUCACUACCUUUUGAUGGGUCUAACUUAAAAGAACUUAGAGAACGGGUACUAAGGGGAAAAUAUCGUAUACCUUUCUACAUGUCCACUGACUGCGAGAAUCUGCUCAAGAAGUUCCUGGUACUCAAUCCAGCACGUAGGGCAUCUCUAGAGACAAUAAUGAAGGAUAGAUGGAUGAAUAUUGGUUAUGAAGAUGAUGAACUAAAGCCGUAUGUGGAACCAACCAUAGACCUUGAUGACAUUAAACGAAUUGAGAUUCUCAGUGAAAUGGGUUAUUCUCGAGCCGAAAUAGAAGACAGUUUGAAGAGUCAGAAGUAUGAUGAUGUAUAUGCUACCUACCUACUCCUUGGGCGGAGAUCUUCGGAUCUUGAGAGUGAUGGUUCCCGGUCAGGAAGCUCACUUUCCCUUCGCAACACCUGCUUAACGCCGCGAGGGCAGGAAUCUAGCGGAGCUGCCCAAUCUCCCUCGCACUCCCACCGGGGAGUUCACCGCUCAGUCUCUGCCACCAACUCCAAGCCCUCUCGCAGAGCAUCCUCCGGUGGGGAGACCAUUCGGGGUGGAGGCACAACUCCAGUCUCUACUAAUGCACACAACCAUGCGGGCACCAACAACUUCCGGCGGCAGAACACAGUUGAUACUGCAACCAUCAAGGAGAACACUGCUCGACUGGCUCAGGGGGGCGUCCCCACCACCUCAGCCUCACGCUCGGCAGCACUCAAGAACCAAAAUAUCACAGCCCUUGAUCCCUCAGGGGCACCCGGCAAAGCUGGAGGUGCAGGCGCAGCGACCAGUCCUGGUGUAGGGAAGUCUCGGGUACAGAAGAGUAACACCAUGACCAAUAGAACCAUAGGUAGUGGCUCAGCACGACGCUCAACGUACUCCUAUGAUGCCAAUAAGGCCUCCUCAACAGAAAAGACAAACAUAACAAACGUUCCAGAUUCUGCUAGUGGCGUGGCUGCGGUACCACUCCUCCCUGGGGCCCCUCCCUCCUCUGCGGUGGGGGCCCCGGUGGACAGCCUGUCCCCUGGCCACCCCUCGGCAGCCACUAACUCUCGACCUGCAAAAGGUCAUUUCAAGUCAGCGUCUAUUUCUGCGGGCACGGGUGCUGGUCCAGGUCGAGUGGAUCUCUCGCCCUUAGACCACCCCCUAGAUCCUUUACGGUCAAGAUCUGUCGCCUCCAGACCCAGUGGGGACCACAUGAGAAUGCUUAGCUCUUCAAACAAAACACCAGUGUCACCUAUAAGCUCAAGCAACCGCUUCCCCCGAAAUGUGCCCAGUCGAUCCACGUUCCACAGUGGACAGAAUCGGCAAAAUAACAAUACGUACAGGGGAGUUGGUGCCCCUCUAACUACACAGGAUACCAGUGCCCUCUCCUCCACGAGUAGGACCAGUUUCUUCUCAAAAUUGUCAUCUAAAUUUUCAAAACGCCCCCUGGAAACUCCACCUAAGCAAGGCGCUAGCACAUCCGUGAAUAAUGAUGAGCAGGUCAAGCCUCGGUCAUUGCGCUUCACGUGGAGCAUGAAAACGACCUCUUCACGAGACCCCAAUGACAUCAUGGCCGAGAUUCGCAAGGUAGACCACCCCCCGCACCAUGAAUAGCGACGACAAGUAUUAGAUGCAAACAACUGUGAUUAUGAGCAGCGAGAAAAGUUCUUGCUUCUCUGUGUCCAUGGAGACCCCAACACAGAUUCUUUAGUACAGUGGGAAAUUGAGGUGUGUAAGCUACCCAGACUUAGCCUGAAUGGUG
Molecule: unclassified non-coding RNA, 3126 nt
Filed under: Penaeus chinensis
Lineage: Eukaryota; Metazoa; Arthropoda; Malacostraca; Decapoda; Penaeidae
Description: mAP/microtubule affinity-regulating kinase 3-like, transcript variant X14
Source: RNAcentral